RNAcentral lists this ribosomal RNA (247 nucleotides) under uncultured Candidatus Saccharibacteria bacterium. RNAcentral describes it as "partial 16S ribosomal RNA". It matches the Rfam family "Bacterial small subunit ribosomal RNA", at positions 796 to 1041 of the family's 1533-position model. Lineage: Bacteria; Candidatus Saccharimonadota. The record is from RNAcentral.
CACGCCGUAAACGAUGGAUGCUAGCUGUUACCCGUAUCGACCCGGGUAGUAGCGAAGCUAACGCGUUAAGCAUCCCGCCUGUGGAGUACGAGCGCAAGCUUAAAACAUAAAGGAAUUGACGGGGACCCGCACAAGCGGUGGAGCGUGUUCUUUAAUUCGAUGGUAAGCGAAGAACCUUACCAAGGUUUGAAAUCCUGCGAAGACCUCUGAAAGGAGAUUGUGCCUUCGGGAACGCAGUGACAGGUGU